UCGGGAAUUUUGGGCAAUGGGCGAAAGCCUGACCCAGCAACGCCGCGUGAAGGAUGAAGUAUUUCGGUAUGUAAACUUCGAAAGAAUAGGAAGAAUAAAUGACGGUACUAUUUAUAAGGUCCGGCUAACUACGUGCCAGCAGCCGCGGUAAUACGUAGGGACCAAGCGUUGUUCGGAUUUACUGGGCGUAAAGCGUGCGCAGGCGGUUAUAUAAGACAGAUGUGAAAUCCCCGGGCUUAACCUGGGAACUGCGUUUGUGACUGUAUAACUCGAGUGUGGCAGAGGGGGGUGGAAUUCCACGUGUAGCAGUGAAAUGCGUAGAGAUGUGGAGGAACACCGAUGGCGAAGGCAGCCCCCUGGGUCAACACUGACGCUCAUGCACGAAAGCGUGGGGAGCAAACAGGAUUAGAUACCCAAGUAGUCCCUGAGCGGGCUGGCAAGGCG
This 444-nucleotide ribosomal RNA is filed under the name uncultured bacterium. Its description in RNAcentral is "bacterial SSU rRNA". It matches the Rfam family "Bacterial small subunit ribosomal RNA", at positions 355 to 822 of the family's 1533-position model. The record is from RNAcentral.